Molecule: transfer RNA, 82 nt
Filed under: Macrophomina phaseolina
Lineage: Eukaryota; Fungi; Ascomycota; Dothideomycetes; Botryosphaeriales; Botryosphaeriaceae
Also listed under: 1 other name
Description: tRNA-Thr
Rfam family: tRNA
About the family: Transfer RNA (tRNA) molecules are approximately 80 nucleotides in length.
Source: RNAcentral
GCCCGCAUGGCUUAGUGGUACAGCGUCGCACUCGUAGAAAACGGCAAUGCGAAGAUCCCUGGUUCGAUUCCGGGUGUGGGCA